UUUCUGACCAACGAAGAGGCUCCAAAGUGCAUUUUUCUGACCAAUGAGCAUGCCAGGAUUCUGCUCAAUCGACCAAUCGGAGGCUAGAAUUCUUCGCACAGGUGGUUGGAAGUUAUAAAGCCGGCGUGCGGGGACGGCUGAGUUCAAUCAGUCGAUUUUCAACUGCUUCUACAGCGCGAGGCUCUUCUAUCGACACGGCGGUCUGCAAGCCGAAAUGUGGGGGAAAUGGCGGUUAAAAACGUCCAGGGCAUCACCACACCGACAAGAAUUUACCUGAAUUUCGGCGGGCUCAAACAUAACGUUAUAUUCCGGCGAGGAGACCCGCAAUGUAAAGGGAAUGGAGGUGCUAAACCUCCACAGCCCAGGGCAACACUUUGAGGGCUCAAACCUAACGUUGAUUUUACGACGAGGAGACCCGCAGUAUAAAGGAUGCAAGAAGCAGGGAAGGAGACAUCUCUCAGCAUCUUCCAGGACCUUAUUGUUGCCUUCAACUACACCUCUCUUAAAAGGCUUUAAGGGAUGAAAAAAAGGUUAGUGAUUUGUGAUGUGCAUUAAGUAGCUUUUGGCACCAAACUUAGAAUUCCCUCUGUGUAUCUGAGACAUUUUUGACAGUGAUAAUCAAGUUUCUUGGUUGUUGGCAAGGUGCUUGAGUUUGCUUUGGUGACAUCCCGAGUGACUUGCUGGUUGGGGUUGCGGCAUUUUGAGGGUUUUGGCUCCUUUUGCUCGCAUGGCUUUAGUCUGUUUCUGUGGGAUACAGGUCCGAUGUAUGGUUGAUUUGGUUUCUGUGACCAUGUCGGUGGCUGGGAUUGUGUUUGGAGUUGCUGCAAAGUUCAGUCCUCUAGAAAAUGGAGACUUCCCUACGUUCUGUCAGCCCAUGAUUAUUUAGGUAUCUUGUACUGCCUGACUUUCUUUCUGCAUUAUGUGAUUGUCAGUGGGUCGGGAACCCUGACCAUUACAUAAGCUGCCUUGUGAAUGAAAUAAUGGGGCGGUGGUGGGGGGGUGGAUCAUCAGGUUCUGGGGUAUCCGUUAGUCUUGAGAUCCCGAACAAAGACUACGGCACAGGGCCAGAAGGGAGGACAGGUAGAUGAAGUGCGUAAGUGAUCAUGAGCUAACAGAACUGGGGAAGUCACUGUUUUCUGGAGGACUAAACUUUGUAGUUACCUCUGAGCGCAAUUCCGGUUGUCAGCGUGGGUACAGAAGCUGAUCAGGCCAAGCCUUGAACCUGGUUGCCACAGGAACGGGUUGAAGCACUGUGUGCAGAAGUAACCAUUGCUCUCAAAGUGUCCUAAUCCCUUGCCAGUGCCGUCACAAGGGCUGUUACCAACAUUCUCGAUGCCUUGCUGACAACCAAGUGAUUGUGAUUCUCCCUGCUGGUGAUGCCUCGGGUAGACAGAGGGGAUUGUUAUCUAAGCUUGGGCUGGAGUUGCAUCACAGAUCAGUAACGUCCUGCCACCGCCCAACCAGCAGCAUUUCUCUGGAUGAAAAAGGUCAAGUCUGUAAAUGAAGUUCUUGUUAAAGCUCUUUCUCUUCAAAGAAUGCAAUGUAUCAUUUUACCAUCAUGUAUGAUAGACAAGUGUUGCUCAGGUUGUAUGUUCAUGCUAUAUGUUCAUGUUGCUCAGGUUGUAUGUUCAUUUUAUAUGUUCAUGUCAAGUCAUGCCAUCUUCCUGGGUGAAGCUAAAUUUGUCAUGGAGCUAGGGCCAUGUAGUUUUAUAGAAAUAUUAUAGUUGCCUGCUAUUUAGCUGCAUUCCUCGUACUUACCAGCUGUGAGAUGUCAAAGGCAUGUUUUUUUUCUAAUUCUUGCAUAAUGCAGUCACAAAUUGAAAUGUCCCUUGAAUACUAGUAGCCAAGAUUUCAUAACUUGUAAAUGUUCUUUUUUAGGAUUAUGUUGUAGUUGUCUAGUUUCAAGAUAAGCUAUUAAGAUAAGUGCAUUUUAUGCCAAAAAAGUUACUCAAGCAACUGGAUAUGAUUUUGGAAACGGUCAGAUGUUUCAGGUAGCAUCCACUUGAACUACUUUUGUCAAUGACACUAAAGACAGACUGCAAGAGAAAGACAGAUUUAUCAUAUCCAGUUGCUUGUGUAUAAACUGUUUUUUGGGAUAUCUUAUUACCCUAAUGUCUAACCUUCAUCAACGUAAGCGCAGUUUAGUUUAAGAAUAGUUGUAGUCUAGUUGUAGUCUGAAGAAUAGUUGUAGCCCAGUGUUAAGGUUAGUUGUAGUCUAGUCUUAAGGUUACUUGUAGCCUGGUGUUAAGGUUAGUUGUAGUCUAGUCGUAAGGUCAGAUGUCAUCUAGUCUUAAGGUUAGUUGCAAUCUAGUCUUAAGGUUAGUUGUAGUUGUAGUCUAGUGUUAAGGUCAGUUGUAGUCUAAAGUGAAAGUCUUUUGUUCCCACUCAGCCUUUAUUUUCUGUGUAUUUUGCCUCUAUUCUAGUACAAGUAGUGGCCACCUUGUCCUAGAAUGGAUCCAAAAUAUAUGAAUACAUUGGCUUUGAGAGCAAAGGUCUUUACAUAAAGUAGGGCUGUAGGGAGGUUAUAACCAGGUUAGGUUUAAGGUCUAGGGCAUUGUAGUGAGUUUUUGAAACUUAGCUUUCAAAAUGUCAGACUCAACCUGAGCAACACACUGUAUGCUUAAUAAACAGUCAUGUGGUA
Branchiostoma belcheri (Belcher's lancelet) is the source of this 2641-nucleotide long non-coding RNA. RefSeq lists it as uncharacterized. NCBI's taxonomy places the organism in Eukaryota, Metazoa, Chordata, Leptocardii, Amphioxiformes, Branchiostomatidae. The transcript is spliced from 3 exons. The record is from RefSeq and is a predicted model, not a curated record.